GCUGAUAUGGCUCAGGAGGUAGAGCGCAUCCUUGGUAAGGAUGAGGUCACCGGUUCGACUCCGGUUAUCAGCUCCA
Molecule: transfer RNA, 76 nt
Filed under: Clostridia bacterium
Lineage: Bacteria; Bacillati; Bacillota; Clostridia
Description: tRNA-Thr
Rfam family: tRNA
About the family: Transfer RNA (tRNA) molecules are approximately 80 nucleotides in length. Their secondary structure includes four short double-helical elements and three loops (D, anti-codon, and T loops).
Source: RNAcentral